GGAAACACGGCCCAAACCCCUACGGGAGGCACCAUUAGGGAAUCUUCCGCAAGGGACAAAAUUCUGACGGACCACCCCCCCGGGAGUGAUGAAGGUUUUCGAAUCGAAAACUAACCAAAAACCCACGGCUAACUACUUGCCACCAGCCGCGGUAAUACUUAGGUGGCAAGCGUUGUCCGGAUUUAUGGGGCGUAAAGCCCGCGCAGGCGGUUUCUUAAUCCUGAUGUGAAAGCCCCCGGCUCAACCGGGAAGGUUCAUUGAAAACUGGGAAACUUGAUUGCAAAAAGAAAUGGGAAUUCCCUUGUAGCGUGAAUGCGUAGAGAUGGGAGGACCCCAGUGGCAAAGGCGACUCUCUGUCUGUACUGACCCUGAGCCCAAAGCGUGGGAGCAACAGAUUAAUACCCUGUAGUCACGCCGUAAACGAUGAGUGCUAGGUGUAGAGGGUUUCGCUCUUUAUGCUGCACAAACGCAUAGCACUCGCUGGAGUACGUCGCAGACUGAACU
This 504-nucleotide ribosomal RNA is filed under the name Bacillus licheniformis. RNAcentral's name for it is "bacterial SSU rRNA". It matches the Rfam family "Bacterial small subunit ribosomal RNA", at positions 320 to 901 of the family's 1533-position model. Lineage: Bacteria; Bacillati; Bacillota; Bacilli; Caryophanales; Bacillaceae. The record is from RNAcentral.